CAAUUUGGAACGCUGAGUUCUUUGUAAAAAAGGAACGGGGGAACCAGGUUUUUGGGGUGAAUCUCUUUUCGAAGAGUAGGGUUAUCUUCUUUCGAUCCGAAUCCGUCAGCUAACCUCGUAAGCGUGGAAAGAGGAGAUUG
This 140-nucleotide small RNA is filed under the name Geosporobacter ferrireducens. RNAcentral describes it as "c-di-AMP sequence". It matches the Rfam family "c-di-AMP riboswitch aptamer (ydaO/yuaA leader)". Rfam says of the family: This family represents a conserved RNA structure found upstream of the ydaO and yuaA genes in Bacillus subtilis and related genes in other bacteria. The record is from RNAcentral. Lineage: Bacteria; Bacillati; Bacillota; Clostridia; Peptostreptococcales; Thermotaleaceae.